Molecule: ribosomal RNA, 301 nt
Filed under: uncultured bacterium
Lineage: Bacteria
Description: partial 16S ribosomal RNA
Rfam family: Bacterial small subunit ribosomal RNA
Source: RNAcentral
CAGUAGCCGCGGUAAUACAGAGGGUGCGAGCGUUAAUCGGAUUUACUGGGCGUAAAGCGUGCGUAGGCGGCUUCUUAAGUCGGAUGUGAAAUCCUUGAGCUUAACUUAGGAAUUGCAUUCGAUACUGGGAAGCUAGAGUAUGGGAGAGGAUGGUAGAAUUCCAGGUGUAGCGGUGAAAUGCGUAGAGAUCUGGAGGAAUACCGAUGGCGAAGGCAGCCAUCUGGCCUAAUACUGACGCUGAGGUACGAAAGCAUGGGGAGCAAACAGGAUUAGAUACCCCUGUAGUCCCUGUCUCUUAUAC